RNAcentral lists this ribosomal RNA (376 nucleotides) under uncultured organism. Its description in RNAcentral is "bacterial SSU rRNA". It matches the Rfam family "Bacterial small subunit ribosomal RNA", at positions 526 to 896 of the family's 1533-position model. The record is from RNAcentral.
CAGAGGAGCCAAGCGUUGUCCGGAUUGACUGGGCGUAAAGCGCACGCAGGCGGAUGCGCGCGUGGGGUGUGAAAUCUGGCCGCUUAACGGCCAGGCGCCAUCCCAUACGGCGCGUCUGGAGCAAUGCAGAGGUCGGUGGAAUUGCCGGUGUAGUGGUGAAAUGCGUAGAGAUCGGCAGGAACACCCAGGGGGAAACCAGCCGACUGGGCAUUUGCUGACGCUGAGGUGCGAGAGCGUGGGGAGCGAACCGGAUUAGAUACCCGGGUAGUCCACGCCGUAAACGAUGGCCACUCGGCCUUUGACGACGGAACCUCCGUCGGUGGGGGCCUUAGCUAACGCGGGAAGUGGCCCGCCUGGGACUACGAGCGCAAGCUUA